RNAcentral lists this ribosomal RNA (465 nucleotides) under uncultured bacterium. Its description in RNAcentral is "partial 16S ribosomal RNA". It matches the Rfam family "Bacterial small subunit ribosomal RNA", at positions 28 to 507 of the family's 1533-position model. The record is from RNAcentral.
GAUGAACGCUGGCGGCGUGCUUAACACAUGCAAGUCGAACGAUGAAGCCCAGCUUGCUGGGUGGAUUAGUGGCGAACGGGUGAGUAACACGUGAGUAACCUGCCCUUGACUCUGGGAUAAGCCUGGGAAACUGGGUCUAAUACUGGAUAUGACUUCUCAUCGCAUGGUGGGGGGUGGAAAGAUUUAUUGGUCUUGGAUGGACUCGCGGCCUAUCAGCUUGUUGGUGAGGUAAUGGCUCACCAAGGCGACGACGGGUAGCCGGCCUGAGAGGGUGACCGGCCACACGGGGACUGAGACACGGCCAGACUCCUACGGGAGGCAGCAGUGGGGAAUAUUGCACAAUGGGCGCAAGCCUGAUGCAGCGACGCCGCGUGAGGGAUGACGGCCUUCGGGUUGUAAACCUCUUUCAGUAGGGAAGAAGCGAGAGUGACGGUACCUGCAGAAGAAGCGCCGGCUAACUACGUG